UUUGGGGGUAUAUAACCACUCUGUGCACCCCACUUCUUCGGUGCCCUUUCUUCCUUUGGGAAGAAAGGCCCCGGGCUAUGGUCCUCAGAUUUCAGCUCAGAAUAAACUCACCCAAAUUUUCAUUUACAGAUUGGUUAUGGAUUAUUUUCGUCAACAGUUCUUGGCGUAGUCGCGGCAGGAUUUCAGAGAAACCCACCGGAGGCCACCUGGAAUCUACACUGAACUGGCAUUCAGUACCAAUAAGGGCCCAUUGAGCCCCCCGGAUCACUGCAUUCUUCAGGUGACCCUGUCACAAGAUUGCCCUGUCAGCACAGCACUUGAUGGACACAGCAGAGACAUCAAAUAAGACUCUAUACAGCCCAGUUGGAAAGGACCAUACCAGGAGGAGAAGAAGACGACAUCUGUUGCAGACAGCUGUCCCAAGACUCCGGACCAGGCCUGUAUUCCCAACCUUGCUCCGGCUGUGCAGACAUGGGAAGCCCACGACGACCCUCAGCAGUCUGGCCCAGGCCACCUUGAGCAACCCCACCUCCAGAGCCCCCGCCACGACCUACCCCAUGGGCGAAUUCUCUACUGUUGCUGCUGGGAGCAUAGGAUGCUGAGCUGGAAUACCAGGGAAAUUACUGAGGCAAUUAAAAUUGGAAAUUGGGGUUUAUUGAGAGAAUUCUCUUCCAGAUUAAACGGCACUGACUUUGUUAACAUUGGCGGCAACAUUCGCCAAGACCUCCCCCCUUCUAAAAUUCCUUUCAUCCAGAGUCUCGAUAGUGGAAGGAAAGAGCAGUCCAACAGACCAUCUAAGAAAAUCUGCUGUGGGUCAGAUAAAAGUGCGAAGCUCCCUGACGCCGAGUGGAGAGACGAGGGAAGAGAGAGACAGGGCUGUGGGGGAGCUGCGCACACCCAGCUGCAUGGUCCUGAGCAGGAAUGCACAAUUGCUGCCUGUUCAGAAACGCAAUUCACUGUGACAAAGCUGUCAGGCAACCAUUCUGAGGCCUUUAGAACGAUUGGACUUCCAUAAAGCUCUGCCACAUGUACACUCCCCACAAUCGAUCCCACUUAUCCAGAGCGGCUGUCCUGAUGGCCAUUUGACCGGCCUGAACUCCUAGAGAAGGCGCCUGGCAGUAACACUCUAGAUUUAGGUUUGCACUUUGUCAGUGUUGACUGUGUUGAUUUAUUAAACAAAAUUUUUAAAAGACUAAAACUGUGGAUUUUUCUAAAGUGGAGAUUUGGCAGUUAGCUAUUGAAUUCACGUGAACAACCAAACUGGAUAAUUCUCCUAAAUUUUAUCCCCUCCAGGGCACAAAAUUUGAGUCAAAUAAUCAAGGAGUCUAUAUCGGGCAUCUGCUGGGGGUCAAGGGUGAAUUUGAUUAUUUACACUGACUUCAACAUAUGAGAAUAACCGCGAAGCUGGGGUGCAGGCGAGAGGAGUUGUUGCUAUCAGGAUUACGAUGACAUUGUAGCGGAUGCUGUUGGUUCUUAUCUGUUACCCCCUCUUCUCCCUCACAGAAGUCCCUCCCCAGCUUUAGGGAUGAUCUUUUUUAGCGCUCCAGUAUGGUAAUUCCAACUCCCUUGCCAGGAAUGGGUUUGGGAUCUCAGCCCACCAGUGCGUGGCCUUGAUCUGGGUCUGAUAUCGAUUGCGAGCUGGCACACGAUCCCAUCGUCCUGAUGGGAAAGACUUUUGUUCCAUGGUGGGGGGUGGGGUGGGAGGUGCCUCUCUCCAGCUGAAUGUGACCAAGUCAGCCUGUGGUCCCAGUUGCUGAGGAGGGAAGCCCGCCUGAGGACAAGACCAGCAGGUGAAGCAGAACUAGGAAUUCAAGGGAAACUGAGCCAGGGCCCUGCCUGGACCAUACCCGGACCAUACCUGGACC
RNAcentral lists this long non-coding RNA (1865 nucleotides) under Equus caballus (horse). RNAcentral's name for it is "lncRNA (ENSECAG00000048985.1)". Lineage: Eukaryota; Metazoa; Chordata; Mammalia; Perissodactyla; Equidae. The record is from RNAcentral.